RNA transcript from Poecile atricapillus (Black-capped chickadee), 3032 nucleotides. It is a transcript of the gene named cholinephosphotransferase 1-like, with no coding region annotated. The transcript has 9 exons. The record is from RefSeq and is a predicted model, not a curated record. Lineage: Eukaryota; Metazoa; Chordata; Aves; Passeriformes; Paridae.
UAUCUGCGUGAUAAAACUUGCGAUAGGGAAAUCAGCCGAACACGGCAAAUCCCGGCUGCGAGCGGCACUCACUCACCCCGCGGAGACGAGAGGUGCGCUCGGCCGCAGCUCCCCGGGCCAGCCCCGGCCCCGACCGCCCGCGGCCUGCGGAGGCGGCGGGACGGGCCCUGCCGGGCUCACCCCUGCCACGACCGAGGGCUUCCCCAACCAGGACACCCCCAACCCCUCACGGCGAGGCGGGGCCGGAGGAGCCGUGCCCGCUAAGGGGCUGGGGCCGUGAGGGUGUCGUGUAUUCGGGGCGAAGGAGCCAAAGCCGGCUCGGGGCCGAGGGCGUUCGCCGCGCGUUGGCCGAGGCAGGGGCGGCCGUUCCCCUCCGCCCAAGCCGCUGUUGGGCGUCGGCCUCUUCCGCCGCUGCCCCCGGCUCGGCUCAGCCCCGCCCCGAGCGGCGGCGGCGGCUCCUUGACCCCGGUGCUGUCCGUCCCGGUGGUGCGGGCAUGGUCGUGUCCUGGGCGCUGCCCGCGCCCCUCAGCCCGGCGCAGCUGAAGCGCCUGGAGGAGCACCGCUACAGCGCGGCCGGGCACUCGCUGCUGGAGCCGUGGCUGCAGCCCUACUGGGGCUGGCUGGUGGAGCAGGUCCCGCGGGGGCUGGCGCCCAACGCCAUCACCAUGGGCGGCCUCCUGCUGAACUGCCUGACGGUGCUGCCGCUCAUCGCCUGCUGCCCCAGCGCCACCGAGCAGGCACCUUUUUGGGCAUACAUCCUGGGUGCUCUAGGACUUUUUAUCUACCAGUCUUUGGAUGCCAUUGAUGGGAAGCAAGCCAGAAGAACAAACAGUAGUUCUCCUCUUGGAGAACUCUUUGAUCAUGGUUGCGACUCUAUUUCCACAGUAUUUGUUGUCCUUGGAUCCUGCAUAGCAAUCCGACUAGGAACAAAUCCUGACUGGUUGUUUUUCUGUUGUUUUGUGGGACUGUUCAUGUUCUAUUCUGCUCACUGGCAGACAUAUGUAUCAGGCAUGCUAAGGUUUGGAAAAAUUGAUGUAACUGAAGUUCAGAUCGCCAUAACAAUGCUGCUCUUGAUAUCUGCCUAUGGAGGAGCAGCAAUAUGGGACUAUAAGGUCCCUUUGCUGGGCUUAGAACUGAAGUUCUUUGCCAUUAUUGGCAUCCUGUGUGGAACAGCACUUUCUUUCUUCAAUUACUUCCGUGUUAUCUUUGGUGGAGGGGUUGGAAAGAAUGGAUCUACAAUAGCAGGAACAAGUGUUCUUUCACCAGGCCUGCACAUUGGACUGCUUAUCGCUCUGGCCAUUACAAUUUAUAAAAAGUCUAAAACUCAGCUGUUUGAAAAACAUUCUUGCCUGUAUGUCUUGACAUUUGGACUUGUGAAUGCCAAAAUCUCACAGAAGCUGGUGGUGGCUCACAUGACAAAAAGUGAAAUUUCUCUUCAGGAUUCUGCAUUUAUUGGGCCAGGACUUCUGUUUUUGGACCAGUACUUCAACAGUUUCAUUGAUGAAUAUAUUGUUCUGUGGAUAGCAUUGUUCAUAUCCUUGUUUGAUAUGCUGAGAUAUGCCUGUGGUGUAUGCCUACAGAUUGCCGCUCAUCUUCAUAUACAUGUCUUCAGAAUUUCAUCUCAUCAAGCUCCUGCGCAGGUUCAAAACCAUAAUGACUGAUUAAAUAGGUCAAGAACAAGAGAAGAAGCAGUUAGGGGAAUGACACAGCCUCUCUGUUUUUUGGGAAGACAGAUUAAGCUUCUGAAGAAAACAAUUUUAUGGGAAAGUUCACUGUAUUUCAGACAUUACCAGAUGUUAGAAUUAGUAGAUACAAAGUUCUGCAGAUGCUGUUCUACUUUUGAACUAGUACAUAUUUCCCUGUGUUUCAGACCACAAAUACUACAUUUAAAAAUGUUGCCAUUUCUUGUUAGGUAACUUUAAUUCUGUACUUCUCUUCUGAUGAAUGUAGAUGCAAACCAAGGUGCUUCCAGAAUUCGAAGAGGAGUUUCAUGUUUCCCUAACCCAAUUGUCUAACCUUGUAGCAUUAGUUUCUAAAGUUUUGUUGGAACUACUCUGAAGUGGUUGUCAGAUAUACCAAUGAAUUCAAUCCUGCGUUAUUAAGACUGGUAAAGUGAGGCAGCCAUGAGGUAAAAAAUCAUUCAGUCUCUCUCCUGGUACUUCUAAGGAACAAGCUGUCAGAGCAGUAGAUAAAGGAGGUACAGCUCAGGAAAAUUUCUUCUACUUCAAAGUAUGUUACGAGUGCCUUUAGAAUUCAUGCAUUCUCUAGUAUCCAAGUACAUAACAUACUGCUACCACAUAAAACUUUAGCUUGCACUUUCUUUCAAGGCCAGUUUCUGGUUUUGUGGUCAUAGUAAAGUUAGUCUCAUUGUACUUCAUCCUCAUCUAGACUACAAGUAGCUGUGUAAGGAGAGGACUCUAACUUCAGGCACCCUAACUUGUAUCUGUAAGCCUAUGCAAGUGAAGGACAAAGUUGAUAAACUUCAAUGCCUGUGGCUCCAGCACUGCAGCCCAGCCUUCUGUAUUUCCCGCUGUGGUGUUUUUGCUGUAGCUGUGUUCACUUAUAUAACAAUUGAUUCUAUUGUCUCAUAGCUACCGCUGUACUCUAUCCAAACAAAAGAGCACAAAACUGAAUCAUAAAGUAAAACUCUCCAAAACAGGAACUCAGGCCCAAUAUCAGCUUCUCUCUUCCUUUAAGAACACUGUUAUCCACUGGGUAACAUAAUAUGUCUGAGGGCUGUUGCCAUUAUAGAAAAGCUGAAUUAACUUGUUAUCUGUAUGAAAAAAUGAUUAUUUGCACACAAACCCUAUAAGCUUAAGCUCCUUUCAAGAGGUACUAUUUGAAGAUGUUUUAUGUAAAAAUAUGUUGAAUUUAAGUGUGCAUUACUCCUUCCAGCUGCUGAUAUGUACCUGAGCUUCCAAGUUAAUGAAGUCCUUCCUGAAUUAUCCAACAAAGAAUUCCAUGGUACAUGUUGCUUCUCCACUGAGCCAUCAGAAUAACAUGGACUGAAGAGACUUGCGAACAGUUGCCAU